UCCCAGGUGGCUUAGUGGUAAAGAAUCUGCCUGCCCAUUCAGGAAACCCAGGUUCGAUCCCUGAGCUGGGAA
Molecule: transfer RNA, 72 nt
Filed under: Bos taurus (domestic cattle)
Lineage: Eukaryota; Metazoa; Chordata; Mammalia; Artiodactyla; Bovidae
Also listed under: 2 other names
Rfam family: tRNA
About the family: Transfer RNA (tRNA) molecules are approximately 80 nucleotides in length. Their secondary structure includes four short double-helical elements and three loops (D, anti-codon, and T loops). Further hydrogen bonds mediate the characteristic L-shaped molecular structure. tRNAs have two regions of fundamental functional importance: the anti-codon, which is responsible for specific mRNA codon recognition, and the 3' end, to which the tRNAs corresponding amino acid is attached (by aminoacyl-tRNA synthetases). tRNAs cope with the degeneracy of the genetic code in two manners: having more than one tRNA (with a specific anti-codon) for a particular amino acid; and 'wobble' base-pairing, i.e. permitting non-standard base-pairing at the 3rd anti-codon position.
Source: Rfam by way of RNAcentral